CCAGAUGUCAUUUAGCGCUUUAUUUUCAGCAUUGCCAUAGGUUGAUGUAAGUACACUACUAUUUUCAACAUUGGUAUUAAGUACACUACCAUUUAAAAAGUUUCAACGCAGCCACUUUAUACACAUAUUAUGAUAUUCAAAAAAUAAUAAUCGCAAGAAUAACAAUUAUUAUAAAAGUGUUUCUGCAUCCAGUGGCAGGGAAAAUAGUAGCAUAACAGAAAAAGUAAGAAUAUAGGUCAGGGACAGCAGCCAGGGAAGAGGUCAAAUCAGUGAAACUGUCAGUUGAAUAUAUAAUUAUUAUCAUUAUUAUUAUGUUGUUGUUGAUGAUGUUGAUUAUGAUUUAUUAAAAGGCUUGUUAAAUUAUUUUUAGAGUUACUGGUAUUAUGCUUUUUAAAUUACAUUUACAAUAAACUGUUAUUGUUUUAUUUAAAAUAAAGUGUCCCAGUUUGCCAGUAAGAACAAAAUUGUGGUCUAUAUGUGUUUGUGGAAGCAUUUUAAGUUUUUGUGUUUAAAUAUAUACUGGAUAGAUUAACUUUCAAAGUGUAUCUGGUUUUCAAACAAACAUGUUCUUUUCUCUUCUUCAAGUGUGAGCCGCUCUGGCUGAGGAUACUCUUCUUCUCCACUAAUUAAGUAACAGAGACAUUGAAUUUAUAAUCCAUAUUGUUAGAAUUUUUUUUAUAUAAUUACUUAUUUUUUUCCAAAAGAUGCCACACUCAUAAAAAGACGGCUCAUUAGGCCUACUGAUUUUCUGGAGUUCAGCUAGACUGUCAACACACUCUCAGCAGUUUAAGAGAACAGAUGCUGUCACAUCCUACAACCUCAUCAUCUGCAGAGAGAAACGGCCACUCAAUCACACCAAAAUAUACAGAAUGAUGGACUUGCAGCCCUCAUAGAGGAUUACGAAAAUACUGUAUUUCACUGGAACUUGGUCUUCAUUUCACUAUUUCCAGUUUCUAUUUUGUUUUACCUGGUGGUCUAGUGGUUAGGAUUCGGCACUCUCACUGCCACGGUCCGGGUUCGAUUCCCGGUCAGGGAAUGCUCUUUUGGCAGCUGUGGCCUAAUGGUUAGAAAGUCGGACUUGUAACCUGUAGGUCACAGGUUUGAGUCUUGGUGCUGGCAGGAGUUGUCGGUGGGUGGGGAGUGAAUGAACAGCACUCUCUUCUACCCUCAGUACCCAUGGCUGAAGUGCCCUUGAGCAAGGCAUUGAACCCCCAAUUGCUUCCCGGGCGCUGGAGCAAAAUAGCUGCCCACUGCUCUGGGUUGUGUGUUCAUGGUGUGUGUGUCUGUGUGUGCACUUGGAUGGGUUAAAUGCAGAGCACCACUUCUGAGUAUGGGUUACCAUAC
Molecule: long non-coding RNA, 1344 nt
Organism: Cyprinus carpio (common carp)
Lineage: Eukaryota; Metazoa; Chordata; Actinopteri; Cypriniformes; Cyprinidae
Exons: 3
Source: RefSeq, a predicted model, not a curated record